UUUUUUUUUUUUUCCUUCUUAGUCGUGUGUACAUCAUUGGGAAUGGAGGGAAAUAAAUGACUGGAUGGUCGCUGCUUUUUAAGUUUCAAAUUGACAUUCCAGACAAGCGGUGCCUGAGCCCGUGCCUGUCUUCAGAUCUUCACAGCACAGUUCCUGGGAAGGUGGAGCCACCAGCCUCUCCUUGACAAGCAAAGUGGAUCAGCAAAGGCUGCAGUCACCAGCAUCUUUUCCAACCUUAAUGAACUGUAUCCUCAAAAGAACACUAUCAGACUGGAUUGGAAAAGAUUUGGUUAAUGACAGCCCUGUUAUUUCUAAAACCCAUUAUCACUGUAUGAGAGAUUCCUUUGCGCUGCAUCCUCGACAGUGCUUCCUAAGGCUCUGCCGACUUCCAGUUCUGGAACAAGAUGGUUAAACUCAUUUUUCCCUGCUCUGCUCCUCUAAAUACAACUAAGUACCUUGGAAACUAUUCAGCAGACAAUGAUAAAGGGCUCUGAAAGCUAGAAGAAAAGGUGUACUUGCAAGAAACCUCAGGACUUGAGUAACAGCAACAUGGUAAGUUUUCUAAGUUUUCUUUUCGUCUCCCAUAUACGCUGGGCUGUGCUGGAAUCACCAACAGGCACAGAAAAAAUGACAACAAAACAACAACAAAACCCCCAAGAAUAUCCUGUUGUCUUUGGCCAAAGUUCAGGAAAGGGGAGCCCCAACAGAGACCCAGUAGGAAGCUCUAGCCCCUGUUUUGUACAACCCAGGGUCCUUGCAGAGAGAUUGAUCUGCCAGCAGUGGCAUCAGCAGCAAUAGUAGCAGCAGCAAAGCCCUGGACAGUCCUGGCCCCCAGUCCACAACUUAGACACAGCACAUGGCCUAAUUCACCCACAGAAGCAGCCACUGUGAAGCCCUGUGUCUCCCCAGACUCCAUCCAGUGGCAUAAGGAGACCCAGGCCCUGCAGCUUCCUCCCCAUCAUGGAAGGCUGUCCAUCUACAGAGUUUCCAAACAUAAUAAGCACUAAGGAAACAACAUAACAUGAUAUGCC
RNAcentral lists this long non-coding RNA (1031 nucleotides) under Homo sapiens (human). Its description in RNAcentral is "cytoskeleton regulator RNA". The record is from RNAcentral. Lineage: Eukaryota; Metazoa; Chordata; Mammalia; Primates; Hominidae.